This 653-nucleotide long non-coding RNA is filed under the name Pavo cristatus (Indian peafowl). Its description in RNAcentral is "lncRNA (ENSPSTG00000017017.1)". The record is from RNAcentral. Lineage: Eukaryota; Metazoa; Chordata; Aves; Galliformes; Phasianidae.
GGGAGGGGCUGCUUCCAGAGCAGAGCGACCUCAGGGAGAAAUACUCCUCCUUUCUGCACCAUCAGCAAUGAUUUCUCAAUCUAGCUAUGUUGACGACCCUGUUGAAAUCAGAGCAGUUAACUGAUAAGAUUAAACGUGUGCUCACUCCUAAUCGGUGCAGCUUGUGUGACCAUACAAGAUCUGGAAACUUCUGUUGUGGAAAAUGUGUUAAAGGAGGCCAGCCAGCUCACCUGUGUAACACAACAUCUGCAACACAGCUGGUGGUAGGAGCAAUUGGAUGUAUUCUGUACAGAAAGAGGAAGCGAUCAGCCUUGCAAAAAAUGAUCACAGAGCUUUAUGAGCAGCCUGCAGGCAAUCUGCUUAAAGUUGAUCUUCCUCCUGUCUGGGUAAAGUGGACAUCAAAAGAGACUCUUCCUUAAUCUCACCAAGAAAUGUGAUCUCAUUAUUUGUCUGUCAGGUAAGACAUUUGGUUAUGUUUUUAAAAUCCCUGUUCUAAUGAGCUGCAAAUUCUUCAGAGACCAAAUCCUUUAGUCUCUGUUUUUCAUAUUCUUCCCAGAGUUAGUAUUUCCGUGUUAUUGCAUUUCCUGGGAUGUUCAGUGACUGCGUAUACACUCUGUAUAUUGGUACUGCUCUAUAUCUGAUUUGCAUAAGCC